This 257-nucleotide ribosomal RNA is filed under the name uncultured bacterium. Its description in RNAcentral is "partial 16S ribosomal RNA". It matches the Rfam family "Bacterial small subunit ribosomal RNA", at positions 524 to 776 of the family's 1533-position model. The record is from RNAcentral.
UACGUAGGGUGCGAGCGUUGUCCGGAAUUAUUGGGCGUAAAGAGCUCGUAGGCGGUUUGGUCGCGUCUGCUGUGAAAACCCGGAGGCUCAACCUCGGGCCUGCAGUGGGUGCGGGCAGACUAGAGUGCGGGUAGGGGAGAUUGGAAUUCCGGGUGUAGCGGUGGAAUGCGUAGAGAUCCGGAAGAACACCGGUGGCGAAGGCGGGUCUCUGGGCGAAUAACUGACGCUGAGGAGCGAAAGCGUGGGGAGCGAACAGG